RNAcentral lists this ribosomal RNA (497 nucleotides) under uncultured bacterium. RNAcentral's name for it is "bacterial SSU rRNA". It matches the Rfam family "Bacterial small subunit ribosomal RNA", at positions 28 to 508 of the family's 1533-position model. The record is from RNAcentral.
GACGAACGCUGGCGGCGUGCCUAAUACAUGCAAGUCGAGCGAAUGGAUGGGAGCUUGCUUCCUGACAUUAGCGGCGGACGGGUGAGUAACACGUGGGCAACCUGCCCUGCAGAUGGGGAUAACUCCGGGAAACCGGGGCUAAUACCGAAUAAUCAGUUCCUCCGUAUGGAGGAACUCUGAAAGACGGUUUCGGCUGUCACUGCAGGAUGGGCCCGCGGCGCAUUAGCUAGUUGGUGAGGUAAUGGCCUACCAAGGCGACGAUGCGUAGCCGACCUGAGAGGGUGAUCGGCCACACUGGGACUGAGACACGGCCCAGACGCCUACGGGAGGCAGCAGUAGGGAAUCUUCCACAAUGGACGAAAGUCUGAUGGAGCAACGCCGCGUGAGCGAAGAAGGUUUUCGGAUCGUAAAGCUCUGUUGUGAGGGAAGAACAAGUACGGGAGUAACUGUCCGUACCUUGACGGUACCUCAUUAGAAAGCCACGGCUAACUACGUGC